This 253-nucleotide ribosomal RNA is filed under the name uncultured bacterium. Its description in RNAcentral is "partial 16S ribosomal RNA". It matches the Rfam family "Bacterial small subunit ribosomal RNA", at positions 524 to 776 of the family's 1533-position model. The record is from RNAcentral.
UACGUAGGUGGCAAGCGUUGUCCGGAUUUACUGGGCGUAAAGAGCGCGCAGGCGGUCGUUCAAGUCGAGUGUGAAAGCCCCCGGCUCAACUGGGGAGGGUCAUUCGAUACUGAUCGACUCGAAGGCAGGAGAGGGUAGUGGAAUUCCCGGUGUAGUGGUGAAAUGCGUAGAUAUCGGGAGGAACACCAGUGGCGAAGGCGACUACCUGGCCUGUUCUUGACGCUGAGGCGCGAAAGCGUGGGGAGCAAACAGG